GUUAGCGGCGGACGGGUGAGUAACACGUGGGUAACCUGCCUGUAAGACUGGGAUAACUCCGGGAAACCGGAGCUAAUACCGGAUAGUUCCUUGAACCGCAUGGUUCAAGGAUGAAAGACGGUUUCGGCUGUCACUUACAGAUGGACCCGCGGCGCAUUAGCUAGUUGGUGGGGUAAUGGCUCACCAAGGCGACGAUGCGUAGCCGACCUGAGAGGGUGAUCGGCCACACUGGGACUGAGACACGGCCCAGACUCCUACGGGAGGCAGCAGUAGGGAAUCUUCCGCAAUGGACGAAAGUCUGACGGAGCAACGCCGCGUGAGUGAUGAAGGUUUUCGGAUCGUAAAGCUCUGUUGUUAGGGAAGAACAAGUGCGAGAGUAACUGCUCGCACCUUGACGGUACCUAACCAGAAAGCCACGGCUAACUACGUGCCAGCAGCCGCGGUAAUACGUAGGUGGCAAGCGUUGUCCGGAAUUAUUG
RNAcentral lists this ribosomal RNA (479 nucleotides) under Bacillus zhangzhouensis. Its description in RNAcentral is "bacterial SSU rRNA". It matches the Rfam family "Bacterial small subunit ribosomal RNA", at positions 91 to 556 of the family's 1533-position model. Lineage: Bacteria; Bacillati; Bacillota; Bacilli; Caryophanales; Bacillaceae. The record is from RNAcentral.